AAAAAAGGUUAUAAAAGACAGAAAAGAUUAGACAUUCUUCAGUUAGUCAACUCGUCUUUGUAGAAGAACACAAGCGAAAAUGAGAACUCUGAUUAUUCUGGCUAUCUGUUGUUUGACUGUGGCUAUUGCCAUGCCAAGGGAAGAAAGAUUCAUUCAUCUCCCAUCUCUGAAAACCGUCAUCAGCCAUUUGGAAAGUGUACUCCAUUCUGGCGCAACAAAGGAAGCCUGUAGUUUAGCUUGCCAUGCUGCCUUCUCUGUGGUCGGUUUCCUGUGCGGACCUGCAUGUUCCGAAGUUCUCAAGCUUGUCGGUUGAAUAAGAAUAUACAAAAAUAAAAUAAAAAUUGUAUAAAUUCC
Molecule: long non-coding RNA, 354 nt
Organism: Patella vulgata (common limpet)
Lineage: Eukaryota; Metazoa; Mollusca; Gastropoda; Patellidae
Exons: 4
Source: RefSeq, a predicted model, not a curated record